GAUGAACGCUGGCGGCGUGCCUAAUACAUGCAAGUCGAGCGAACAGACGAGGAGCUUGCUCCUCUGACGUUAGCGGCGGACGGGUGAGUAACACGUGGAUAACCUACCUAUAAGACUGGGAUAACUUCGGGAAACCGGAGCUAAUACCGGAUAAUAUAUUGAACCGCAUGGUUCAAUAGUGAAAGACGGUUUUGCUGUCACUUAUAGAUGGAUCCGCGCCGCAUUAGCUAGUUGGUAAGGUAACGGCUUACCAAGGCAACGAUGCGUAGCCGACCUGAGAGGGGGUUCGGCCACACUGGAACUGGGAAACGGUCCAGACUCCUACGGGAGGCAGCAGUAGGGAAUCUUCGGCAAUGGGCGAAAGCCUGACGGAGCAACGCCGCGUGAGUGAGGAAGGUCUUCGGAUCGUAAAACUCUGUUAUUAGGGAAGAACAAAUGUGUAAGUAACUAUGCACGUCUUGACGGUACCGAAGCAGAAAGCCACGGCUAACUACGG
This 496-nucleotide ribosomal RNA is filed under the name uncultured bacterium. RNAcentral describes it as "partial 16S ribosomal RNA". It matches the Rfam family "Bacterial small subunit ribosomal RNA", at positions 28 to 506 of the family's 1533-position model. The record is from RNAcentral.